This is an RNA transcript of Sorghum bicolor (sorghum), 5149 nucleotides long. RefSeq lists it as uncharacterized. NCBI's taxonomy places the organism in Eukaryota, Viridiplantae, Streptophyta, Magnoliopsida, Poales, Poaceae. The transcript is spliced from 4 exons. The record is from RefSeq and is a predicted model, not a curated record.
UUUUUCUAAUUGGAUGCGCCUCCGAUUGCCGGUUUUGCCCAGCUCACCACCCCAACGCCGCACGUGCCGCCACCUCUGCCGUAGGAGCCCAAUGUCCCGUGGCCCCCUCUCAGCUCGCCAUCGCUAAUGGCCGCGACCACGGUCUUGAGGGCUCAGAUGGGCACCAACAGUUACUGUAGGGUUUGGCAUCGGCGAGCUCACCGCACCUGGGCCAGCCAUCCUACCCGCACCUUGCCAUCAUCAUCAGCCUCCCGUGCUUGCCCGCGACUCAUUGUCAGCUCCCGCCACGAACUCCCGGAGAAAGUUUCAACUCGCCUGGCGAUGCUGCCGUGUCAGCCCACCACCACCGCCUCCCUGCGUGUGCUCCUCCAACACUGCUGGCAGGAUCCAGGAUGUGGUCCCUGCAAGUGUUCAAUUGUUGGCGCAGGUCGCGGGCAGGAGCUCCUCUUCAAUUGCAGCAAGGACAUGGCGAGUAGCUUAGCUGAAGUAGGAUUGCACUAGGCGAUAGAAUUAGAAGGAUCCAUCCCACACCAGCCCGCCACCAGUGACGUGUAUAUGCUUAAUCCUUCAAGCAACUCUCAGCUGCAGUACACAGGAUACUUGUUGUUGGAAUGGGCGAAUGGCCCAUCCAUUGCUGCCCCGGUGCUACCCACAUGCUUGUCUUGGAUUUUACACAAUGGUGAACUGUGCUCCCUUUGCUUAAUUUGUUAUUUGUUCAACUACAGAAUUAUAACAAAGUGUACAUAUCUGCCAAUCUUGAAGACUUGAAUUUUUCUCGCUGUAUAUUGAUUGAUGCUUUAGUGAUCUUGUUAAUUGCCAACAAUGGUUAUUUAAUACAAAUUUUAGCUCCUAAUCUUCAUUCCUGAGGCUGACUCUUUCAUGGAAAAUUCAGCUUCAGGGUAUUCCAUUACUGGUUAAUGCACCGUAUCUACAUUUGUGAUGAUGGAAUUUUACACCUUACUCAGGAUUGAUAUGAUCUCAUUAUAGAAUGUUGUAAUGUUUUGGAUGAGUUAUUCAGAUUUGAUAUGGUUCAGAUGAGGCUAUUGUUAUGGAUUAGUAUUGGAAUAUUUACAUCAAUUUAGUAGUAACUUGUUAUUUGUCUUCACAGGACAUUAUUUACGAUUAGACUCUAUGGUGGGGUUAGACCCUGUCUACAUAACUAGAAUUCUGGGUUCUUGCUUGCGGCACUACCUAAAUCUAAAUGAUUUUUGCAUUUAUAAUAUGCCUGGGUUUCUUGCUCUUUAUUUAGAGCACACACUUCUUUCAUUUCAGUAUUGAUCCAUUUUCUGCUAAAACCCCAUAGCCAACUGAACCAUGCAAUGGUUUUCGUGCAGCACAACUUCAGUUACGAGAUUGAACAACAAUGGAUACCAGAUAACUAAGGGAAAGGUCAUUUGAAACCACAUUUAUUUAAAUUAAAACAUUUCAUUGUCACCUUUCAAUGUUGCUCCUAUGGUAACAUGAUGUUAUAAUAUUCAGGAGCUCAAUCGAUUAGCUGGAGCAGAUGAACUUGUGAAUUUGUUAUGGCUCAUGUAGCCUAUACACUAGGUUACAUUUCUUUCUUGGUAGAAUGGGUUAAGACGACACAUUUGCUUAUGAAAUAGGUUUCACCAAGUUAAUUUCAUGAUUGGUGGAUUUCUGUGUUGACAUUUAGAAGAGUCAUUCUUUACACCUUUACAAUGUUCUGUUUAUUUGGUCAUAUGUUGCUAGGAAUUCUAUUUGUAAGCUGAUCAUUGAGUCUUUAGAGUUCAAGUUUACCAGGUCUAAAUGUUAUUUCAAAGGUUCAAUGCCUUGCAGAAGCCCUAAAUGUUAAUUCUGUAAUUUUGGUCCUUGUAUCUUAUGUGAAAAUGGAAUCAUUGCUUUGUCAGGCUUCUAAAAAUUGUGUGCAACACUCCAAGAAUAGGAAAUGUUAUAAAUAAAUCUGAAUUUACCUUUAUAAUGCAAAUAUAAUAGCUAGCCUUUAAUAAUUUAGCGUUUCUUUUCAUUUCCAAUCUCUCCAAUUUCGAUUUGUUUUGUUCUUUCUUGCUUCAGGGUUUGGAUUCUAUCCUAUCUAAAGAUAAUAGUUGCAAAAUUUAGUAAUUAGGCAUAGUUGUACUACUGGGAAAUACCAUCUUCUAAAUUUAAAUCCCCAAAAUAGGAGGGCAUAGUAUGAUAGUAAUGUUAGUAGUGUUCAGUAAUUGGUGGAUCAAGAUCAAUGGUAUAAUCACCAUGCCAUUGACGAGGCCAGGAGGGGUCUGAACUCGCUAUCAUCCUUGGGGCAUGGAUUUGGAAACAUUGAAAAGGCUGUGUUUUUUAAUGGGGUUCGCCAUGAUGUGCUUCACAUUCACAAUUUGCUAGAGAGGAAGCAAACCUCUAGGUUUGUCUUGUGCUAGGGCAUUAGCACAGCUUGACAUGAAUUCAUUGUAGUAGACGGCAGGUUCAGUUAGUCUUUUUGUUCUUACAGGGGCACGUUUGUAACUUUGAGAGUUUGCAGUGUAUUGUAUUUCUAGGACUUUCAUCCCCUUAAUGCACUGAUGCAAAGCUCCUGCAUAUUCACGAAACAAUUUAAAUCACUACAAUAUUCUUUUUCAACCUAUACUUAUUCACUGUGUUUAAAUCACUGCAUUUUCAUACUUCAUGGCAGUGCUAAAUCAUUUUGGAAGAAAUAGAAUUAGUGCAUUUCCUUGUUUACACUGCUGUGAGUUUAUUUUUCCCUCAACACUUAAUUUCCCUCAACCAUGUCAUAUGAUGUAACUGUUUUUUUCUCUGUGUGUGUAUGAAAGUUUGGCCACACAGCAAUUCCCUUUGGGAGUGGAUUUAAUUUAGCCUUCCUGUUUUUGUUCUUUAAAAGCUCUUUACAAAAAAAGUCAUACUGUACAAGAUGUUGUACUGUCGCAUAUCUUAACCUUGUUUGUAAAAUCUUGCUUGCUUGAUGUAGCCUAUGGGUGUUAAAAUCAGUUGUACAGGUGAAUUUUAAGUUGUAGUACUAUUUAAAUUUUACAAUUAAUUGUCAUAUGUUCCCAUUACAGCAAAGGGAAUGCUUGAAGGGCAAAUGAUCUGCACUUCUUCAUGCUUCUCUUGAAGAUUUGUUUCAACAACAUAGUGUUGUUCUUAUCAGAGGAGGUUUUAUUUCUCACAGCAAUUUGUUUAAAAAUAGUCAUGUUUUUUUAUAGUUCACUAGUUGCACAAAUUGCAAUGAUAUUUGCGAUGAUAUAUUGUGUGUUUGGAAACUGAUUCGUUGUGAGAUUUCUAUGAAUGAUGCCACUUGGUACAUUCCUAAUAUUUUGGUUCUAAUGAUAGGUUUCCUACUUUUAUUACCCUGUACAUAAUUGUGUGGUUUCUCAACGAAAUUAUAAUCUCUUUGUUUUCGUGUGUUCCAAAUAGUGUAUUCAUUUGGAGAUGCCUCUUGAGGGAUGUUGUGAUGCAGCCCUUGGCCUGCAGCCCGACCUCAUAUAUGGAGGAACCUCCAACAAAGUCUAGCCUCUCUACAUUUGAAAAAAGGUGUCCUGGGUCUUCAUCAAAUCUCCAGCAAACUGGGCAUCGAGUAUCAUGUACCACUCCCUUUCUAGCAAUAUUCAUUAUGACCUGUAGUGAGUUAUGGACCAUUAGGCAGGCAAACAUCAUAACCUUAUUUGCAACAUACAGUUUCCAAAUUUUGACCAAUCAAAGCCACCAUAAUCAGCACAAGUGAUCAAGUGAAACUAUUACAUUUUUAGCUGCCACUCUUUUUGCAUCUUUACUAAUUGCCGAAUAAACACUAAAAUUUAUCUCCUAGGCGCCCACCACUUUAGUAUGUUCAUUGCAGGCAUGGUGCUUCUAAGACCAAGAUUUAAACCUGUCCUGUCCACCUAUGGUAAACUUGUUUUGUCUGUCUGAACAUUGUAGUCUGAGAAUUUUCGGACGAUGUUGGUCUCAUCCUUGUCAUGUUUACACAGCCAGGAUUCCAGGAACAAGCAGAAAGAUAGCAGUACCAGAGUGUGGAACUGGUGUCCCUUAGCUUAUACCUCCAUGGCUCUAAAGUUAUGUAUUUUGUGGUUUCUCUGGGAAGCCAUUUUAUUGGUAUCUCUUCUACUUUGGUUCUCAAGUGUCCAAGCAUUACCAACUACAUAUGUUAGGCAAAACAUAUUAGUUGCAGACAUUGAUUGGUUAACCAAUUAGCUAUCACCAUAAAUAUUCAUUUCUGGAAACAGAUAUUAGGAUUGUUCCAGAUAACAGGUGGUCAUAGGAAUCCUAGCCUUCUACGCGGAAAUAAAAAAUAUUAUUUAGAAACACAUUCUACAAUAUGAUUCAUUAACAAAAAUAUUAACUAAGUGGAUUCACUUAUUCAGCUGAUUUCGAGACACAAGAAUUAAUACUAUGAUUAAUUUAUGACAUCAUAAGUGACUGCUGUGAUAUUGUCUGCAUAUGGAUUAUGUAGUCAAGAUAUGCUAAUGCAUGUUCAAAUUAGUGCUCAUGAAUGAAGAUCCACUUGCUAACUUCCUUAUGAUUUCUUAAGCAUUUUUAGUCAUACAUAUCCACUCAAUGUGUACAGUAACAUCCAAGCUUGCUCUGAUGGACCGACAAAGAUGGACUCAGAAUAGUCUAUGCAUUUUUCUCAGUAUUCAUAGGUCAUAUCUUUACUUCAAAAUCAUAUUUUUAAGAUGUUCAAUUAUAUAUGACUAGGCAUGCCACCGGGAAAAGUACAAAAUGAGUUGUUAUUAGUUAUUGCACUUUAAGGGUCAGUUAAAAAUAAAUGCAUAGAGCUGUUGGUGGCCCCUCCUAGCUUUGCUUUUAUUUGCUAGAUUUCAUACUUUCUUCCCAUUCAAAAAAAUUGAUUCAUACAUCCAAUUAUUUAAGAAAACAAAAUUCAGAGGGAAAUCUGUAUGCAUGGUUUACAAUUAAUUGUAAAGUUCUUUUUUAAUGUUUUAUUUUGUUUUGCUUCUUUUGACAGGUGAAGCAAUUACGGCCAUUAGAGAUGUGAGAGAAUCAAGGGAUGUAUUAGUUUUGUUUUUUAUUUUUAUUAAAAAGUAAUUUAAUUUGUCUUAGUUGCUGGAACCUUAAUAUUUAUGAUCCCAAUCAAGGUGAUUUAGCAUAUUGUAUAUGAUUUAGUACAGAGCCACAAAACUAUGUUUAUUCAACAAAGUGUAUUACAAUUUUCUUUGACGAUUUAUUUACCUGAAAAUUUAUGUUA